Molecule: long non-coding RNA, 333 nt
Organism: Podarcis raffonei (Aeolian wall lizard)
Lineage: Eukaryota; Metazoa; Chordata; Lepidosauria; Squamata; Lacertidae
Exons: 3
Source: RefSeq, a predicted model, not a curated record
UGCAUUCCACGUCUUUGCUCGCUUUUCAUGUCCCGGAUGUGAGAUUUCCUGCAUUUAAAGCACAGUGUCUGGAGGUGGAAUGUGCAACCUCCGAGCAGAACGAUGCAGGCUAAUGUGCGCAGUUGAUACGCCGGUUGAAUGGUGCACCUAUGGAACAUUCCUGGAAAAGAAACAUUGAAAUAAGACCUCUUGCCUUCUGCCAGUUAUGUUAUUUUUCCCCCCCAUAUGUAGGCUGCUCUUGUUCUGGACAGAUUUACCAAGCAUGUCAUCUUCCUUAUUUCUCCAGACAUUGUACUCAAAUUUCCGAAAUAAAUGAUGAACUGAGUUACAAAA